Molecule: ribosomal RNA, 460 nt
Filed under: uncultured bacterium
Lineage: Bacteria
Description: partial 16S ribosomal RNA
Rfam family: Bacterial small subunit ribosomal RNA
Source: RNAcentral
CCUACGGGAGGCAGCAGUGAGGAAUAUUGGUCAAUGGACGCAAGUCUGAACCAGCCAUGCCGCGUGCAGGAUGACUGCUCUAUGAGUUGUAAACUGCUUUUGUACGAGGGUAAACCGCGAUACGUGUAUCGGGUUGAAAGUAUCUUAUGAAUAAGGAUCGGCUAACUCCGUGCCAGCAGCCGCGGUAAUACGGAGGAUCCGAGCGUUAUCCGGAUUUAUUGGGUUUAAAGGGUGCGUAGGCGGUUUGUUAAGUUAGAGGUGAAAUGUCGGGGCUCAACCCCAAAACUGCCUCUAAUACUGUUAGACUAGAGAAUAGUUGCGGUAGGCGGAAUGUAUGGUGUAGCGGUGAAAUGCUUAGAGAUCAUAAAGAACACCGAUUGCGAAGGCAGCUUACCAAACUAUAUCUGACGUUGAGGCACGAAAGCGUGGGUAGCAAACAGGAUUAGAUACCCUUGUAGUC